RNAcentral lists this ribosomal RNA (497 nucleotides) under uncultured bacterium. RNAcentral's name for it is "partial 16S ribosomal RNA". It matches the Rfam family "Bacterial small subunit ribosomal RNA", at positions 28 to 507 of the family's 1533-position model. The record is from RNAcentral.
GAUGAACGCUGGCGGCGUGCCUAAUACAUGCAAGUCGAGCGAACGGACGAGAAGCUUGCUUUUCUGAUGUUAGCGGCGGACGGGUGAGUAACACGUGGAUAACCUACCUAUAAGACUGGGAUAACUUCGGGAAACCGGAGCUAAUACCGGAUAAUAUUUUGAACCGCAUGGUUCAAAAGUGAAAGACGGUCUUGCUGUCACUUAUAGAUGGUUCCGUGCUGCAUUAGCUAGUUGGUAAGGUAACGGCUUACCAAGGCAACGAUGCAUAGCCGACCUGAGAGGGUGAUCGGCCACACUGGAACUGGGACACGGUCCAGACUCCUACGGGAGGCGGCAGUAGGGAAUCUUCCGCAAUGGGCGAAAGCCUGACGGAGCAACGCCGCGUGAGUGAUGAAGGUCUUCGGAUCGUAAAACUCUGUUAUUAGGGAAGAACAUAUGUGUAAGUAACUGUGCACAUCUUGACGGUACCUAAUCAGAAAGCCACGGCUAACUACGUG